AUGAGUCAAGGCCAGAUCCGCCGUUGCUGGUGCCGUCCUCCCCCGCCGCCAUCGCACCACUUCCAUGUCGCCGCCGAUCUGCGCCACCGCCGCCGAUCUGGCCAGAGAGGAGCGCCGCCUCCCAACCAGAUCGAGAUCCGAGGAGAAACAUGCCGCCGCCGCCAUGACACAAGGGCUUUGCCCUGUGACGCCCCGGGCGACGGCGGCGGAGGGGAGCGGAGGAGGGGCGAGGCUAUAGGAGGAGGGCGAGGGCUCUCCGGUGCGGGGCGGCGCCGCCGCACAGGGGAGGGACGGGAGGGGCGUGAUGUAAGUGGGCAGCGAUGUUGUGAGUACCCAUCAUCCCUGCCACUUUCACGUGCGGCAGGACUUGCGCCUUCCAGACCAGGAAAUUCUCCCGUGAAGUUUACCUAUGGCCAUCUCGCGCAGCUCAAGUACAUUAUGCCCGAGGCUAUUGUCAUCAACAAGAUCCUUUUGCGCGACGACAAGACUUGCUGCAUGAAGCCGGAUCUUCAGGUGAACCUAUUGGUUGAUUCAGUUGAGGACAGUGCGAUGCAGAAGGGGGAAACCCGCAGGCUUGUCGACUUCUUCAGGAAACAUCCUGAGGGAGAUGACAUCCCGGAGCAUGAGCUGCCGCAUCCAUUUACUCAAACAAAUUCAAGUGUGGCUCAGAGCACACCAAGAGUUGUUGCUGAAGUUGUAUUUGCCGCGCCAUCACCAAGCCUGGCUCAACAGCCGGCUGUUGCACUGUCGCACAUGUCCCAGUCUUUCAAGAGAAGGUUCUCACAGAGAUCUUCAACCUGCCCUGCAACUGCCAGCACAACCGGUCUGCCGCCGAAGGCUGAGUCUACUGCUCCAUCUCCACUGGGCAGGAAGUUGAUGCUCAGUUCUACUUCUGGUGGCACAGAUCAUGAGUCCCAAGUGCAAGAGAAAAGUAGCAAGGAUGUUGCACCCAGGUUUGGUGUUACAGAAGGGACUCCUGCCAAGUUCGCCUCUACACCAGUGAGAUCAAUGGCAGCCACACCGAAUCUUGAGACCCCAGAGAGGCCAAUAUCUGCUACCGUGUGUGACACGCCGCCUCUAAACACGGCCAAGCGAUCAGCUAGAGCCAAGUUGUUUAUGACACCUACAAAGGAUGCAAGCAGAAUGGAAGAAGAGAACCAAAGCAUGAGCACAUCUCCAAGCGACAGCGAUGAGUUGCUUGGUUUCCUUCCAAAGUCCCUAUUGCAAUCGGUAAGUAAAGGAGAAGGAGAAGAGAACUUUGGAGGAGAAGGAAACAGGCUAUGCAGACACCAGGUUCAGCGGCAAAAGCUCAUAUCAUGUCUGCCAAGCACCUUUGACAUUAUCUUCCUUAUCUACCAGUCGAGGCAGCGAACUGUACUGACAAAGCAGGAGCUCAUCCACAAGAUAAUCGAAAGUAACCCGAAGAUCGUGGACAAGGGUGAAGUUGAAGAGCAAGUGAGACUGCUGCUAGAGUUUGUUCCAGAGUGGAUCUCUGAGAAGACUGCAAGAAAUGGAGAUAUUCUUUGCUGCGUCAAUACCGCACUGAGCCAGUCUGAGGUUCGACAAAGGUUGUCCGGUGUCAAGUAG
This 1587-nucleotide ribosomal RNA is filed under the name Triticum aestivum (bread wheat). RNAcentral describes it as "partial small subunit ribosomal RNA". Lineage: Eukaryota; Viridiplantae; Streptophyta; Magnoliopsida; Poales; Poaceae. The record is from RNAcentral.